UACGUAGGGGGCUAGCGUUGUCCGGAUUUAUUGGGCGUAAAGAGCGUGUAGGCGGCCAGAUAGGUCUGCUGUGAAAACUCGAGGCUCAACCUCGAGAUGUCGGCGGAAACCAUUUGGCUAGAGUCCGGAAGAGGAAAGUGGAAUUCCUGGUGUAGCGGUGAAAUGCGCAGAUAUCAGGAAGAAUACCCGUGGCGAAGGCGGCUUUCUGGGACGGUACUGACGCUGAGACGCGAAAGCGUGGGGAGCGAACAGG
Molecule: ribosomal RNA, 253 nt
Filed under: uncultured bacterium
Lineage: Bacteria
Description: partial 16S ribosomal RNA
Rfam family: Bacterial small subunit ribosomal RNA
Source: RNAcentral